RNAcentral lists this ribosomal RNA (490 nucleotides) under uncultured bacterium. RNAcentral describes it as "partial 16S ribosomal RNA". It matches the Rfam family "Bacterial small subunit ribosomal RNA", at positions 30 to 507 of the family's 1533-position model. The record is from RNAcentral.
AUUGAACGCUGGCGGCAGGCCUAACACAUGCAAGUCGAACGGUAACAGGAAGCAGCUUGCUGCUUUGCUGACGAGUGGCGGACGGGUGAGUAAUGUCUGGGAAACUGCCCGAUGGAGGGGGAUAACUACUGGAAACGGUAGCUAAUACCGCAUAACGUCGCAAGACCAAAGAGGGGGACCUUAGGGCCUCUUGCCAUCGGAUGUGCCCAGAUGGGAUUAGCUAGUAGGUGGGGUAACGGCUCACCUAGGCGACGAUCCCUAGCUGGUCUGAGAGGAUGACCAGCCACACUGGAACUGAGACACGGUCCAGACUCCUACGGGAGGCAGCAGUGGGGAAUAUUGCACAAUGGGCGCAAGCCUGAUGCAGCCAUGCCGCGUGUAUGAAGAAGGCCUUCGGGUUGGAAAGUACUUUCAGCGGGGAGGAAGGGAGUAAAGUUAAUACCUUUGCUCAUUGACGUUACCCGCAGAAGAAGCACCGGCUAACUCCGUG